GCAACUCGAGUGCAUGAAGCUGGAAUCGCUAGUAAUCGCGGAUCAGAAUGCCGCGGUGAAUACGUUCCCGGGUCUUGUACACACCGCCCGUCACACCAUGGGAGUCGGGAAUGCCCGAAGCCGGUGGCCCAAUCGAAAGAAGGGAGCCGUCGAAGGCAGGCCGGGAUGACUGGGGUGAAGUCGUAACAAGGUAAC
Molecule: ribosomal RNA, 195 nt
Filed under: uncultured bacterium
Lineage: Bacteria
Description: partial 16S ribosomal RNA
Rfam family: Bacterial small subunit ribosomal RNA
Source: RNAcentral